RNAcentral lists this ribosomal RNA (484 nucleotides) under uncultured bacterium. RNAcentral's name for it is "partial 16S ribosomal RNA". It matches the Rfam family "Bacterial small subunit ribosomal RNA", at positions 30 to 507 of the family's 1533-position model. The record is from RNAcentral.
AUUGAACGCUGGCGGCAGGCCCAACACAUGCAAGUCGAGCGGAUGAAGGGAGCUUGCUCCUGGAUUCAGCGGCGGACGGGUGAGUAAUGCCUAGGAAUCUGCCUGGCAGUGGGGGAUAACGUCCGGAAACGGGCGCUAAUACCGCAUACGUCCUGAGGGAGAAAGUGGGGGAUCUUCGGACCUCACGCUAUCAGAUGAGCCUAGGUCGGAUUAGCUAGUUGGUGGGGUAAAGGCCUACCAAGGCGACGAUCCGUAACUGGUCUGAGAGGAUGAUCAGUCACACUGGAACUGAGACACGGUCCAGACUCCUACGGGAGGCAGCAGUGGGGAAUAUUGGACAAUGGGCGAAAGCCUGAUCCAGCCAUGCCGCGUGUGUGAAGAAGGUCUUCGGAUUGUAAAGCACUUUAAGUUGGGAGGAAGGGCAGUAAGUUAAUACCUUGCUGUUUUGACGUUACCAACAGAAUAAGCACCGGCUAACUUCGUG